Molecule: long non-coding RNA, 41950 nt
Filed under: Eucalyptus grandis
Lineage: Eukaryota; Viridiplantae; Streptophyta; Magnoliopsida; Myrtales; Myrtaceae
Description: long non-coding RNA (EGRA_LNC005089)
Source: RNAcentral
AGAGAAGGAGAAUUGGUAAAAUUGGUUGUAGAAAAAGUUUUGAAAGAGUUGAAGAAAGUGAAGGAGUUGGUUGGUGAUGAUUAUUUGGUCGGAAUUGACAAUCCUGUGGAGGAGGUUAUGCAAUUGGUAAACAGAAUGCUAGUGCUACCUUGCGUGGUGGGGAUUUAUGGAAUUGAGGGCAUGGUAAGACUACUUCUUGCUAAAGUCANNNNNNNNNNNNNNNNNNNNNNNNNNNNNNNNNNNNNNNNNNNNNNNNNNNNNNNNNNNNNNNNNNNNNNNNNNNNNNNNNNNNNNNNNNNNNNNNNNNNUUGCAAAUAUCAGGGAAUCGCGUGAAUGUGAUGGUAUUAAUUACUUGCAAAAUCAAUUAAUCUUUGAUAUGCAAAAAGAAAAAAAUCAAUUUUGUAAUUAUGACGAAGGAAUUGAGUGCUUCUUGUCUAGGUUUAAAGAUGAGAAAGUCCUCAUUAUUUUUGAUGAUGUGGAUACCACCGAUCAGUUAAAGGCUUUGGCUGGAAAUCCUAACUGGUUUGGCUCAGGAAGUAGGAUCUUUGUUACCACUAGAGAUGAGAGUGUUCUUGAUAAGGCCAGAGUGGACAUCAAGUAUGAGCAUAAGCAAUUGCAUGAAAAGCAAUCUCUUAUCCUUUUUUCUAGACAUGCAUUUCGAAGAGACUAUCCUCCAAGUGAAUUUUUAGCUCUAUCUCGUCUUGUUGUAUCUACAACAGAAGGGAUUCCCUUGGCUGUCAAGGAUAUAGGUUCAUUUUUGUGUGAAAAACCAUCACGGAUAUGGAGAGAAACAAUACAAAAGAUGCAAAAUAUAUCUCAUAUGGCAGUGCAAGAAAGGUUGAGGAUAAUUUAUGAAGGAGUGAGGGAGGGUCAAAGAAACAUGGAAGAUGUGUCUUCCGCGAAUCCUGCCAUGCCUAGUCCUUCCAUCUCGCCAAGCAAAAACGAUUACGAAGUGUUCUUGAAUUUUAGAGGUGUAGAUACUCGAAGAGACUUCACCGACUACCUCUACCGUAGCCUUGUUGAUGUUGGAAUCCGUGUCUUCACGGAUGACGAUGAGCUCCGCGUGGGCGAGAGAUUGAGCGAAGAUCUUAUGCAAGCCAUUAGGAACAGCAAUAUUUUGAUUCCGAUUAUCUCUGUGAAUUAUGCUUCUAGCAAAUGGUGCCUUGAUGAACUUGUUCAAAUGAUGAAGUGCAAGAGACGCUUAGGGCACAUAGUGUUACCUAUAUUCUACAAAGUGGAACCUGUAGAUGUGCGGGAUCAAAAGGGUCGAUUUGGAGAGGCAUUUCAUUAUUUCGGGAGGCGUUUCGAUCAAAAGUUUACAAAGGAAUGGCAGCAAGUGCUGACAGAAGUCAGUUCCUUACAAGGAUGGCAAUUUGCUAACAGGUACUUCGUUCUUUAACCAGCACUUUAUUUACUUUGACGAUGUCAACGCCAGCAAAUCAUAAUUUUUUACGGAUUUGAUUCAUUCGUUUUAAUGAUGAAACUCCUUUACUAUACUACAUGUGCAAAACUUAAAGCUUCAUUAGCCUCAAAUCUUUUUCUAACUAAAUACUUUUAGAGUAACCUUGAAAGAUGUUAUCGGUGCAUCAUGUGGAGCAACCGCGUGGAUGCUUUACCCACUUUUAUCAUAUAGAUAAGAUNNNNNNNNNNNNNNNNNNNNNNNNNNNNNNNNNNNNNNNNNNNNNNNNNNNNNNNNNNNNNNNNNNNNNNNNNNNNNNNNNNNNNNNNNNNNNNNNNNNNGAUAAGGGAUAACAUUUAUGGAAUGGGGGGCAUUGGUAAGACAGCUCUUGUUAAAGUGAUCUACAACAAGCUAUUGAAUCAAUUUGACCAUUGUAGCUUCAUUUUAGACAUUAGGGAAUCAUGCAAUCGCAAUGGUAUUAGUUACUUGCAAAAUCAAUUAAUCCAUGAUAUAUUGCAAAGAGAUAUUCGAUUGCAUAACAAGGAUCAUGGAAUCCGCAUCAUCUCAUCCGAGCUUAAAGAUAAGAAAGUCCUCAUUAUUCUAGAUGAUUUAGACACCACUGAUCAGUUAGCAGCUUUGGCUGGAAAUCCUAAUUGGUUUGCACCAGGAAGUAGGAUCUUUGUUACCACUAGAGAUAAGAGUGUUCUUGUUAGGGCUAGUGUGGACAUCAAGUAUGAGCAUAAGGAAAUGGAUGAGGAGCAAUCUUUGAUCCUAUUUUCUAGACAUGCAUUUCGAAGUGACUCUCCUCCCAGUAAGUUUUCAGCUCUCACUCACAUUGUGGUAUCUAUAACGGGAGGGCUUCCCUUAGUUCUCAAGGUUGUAGGUUCAUUUUUGUGCGGAAAACCAUCAAUACUAUGGAAAGAAACGAUAUGUAAGAUGCAAAAUAUGCCUCAGAGGGCAGUGUCAAAAAAGUUGAUGAUAAGUUAUGAAGCAUUGGAGGAGGAUCAAAGACAAAUGUUCUUGGAUAUUGCUUGUUUUUUAAUUGGGAGUGACGCAAGAAUUGCAUGCUACAUGUGGGAUGCUUGUGGCUUUUUUGCGAGGGGUGGAAUUGAAGUACUGAGAUCUUUAUUGUUCAUAAGUGUUGGAGAUAAUCAUGAGUUUAGAAUGUAUGACCAAAUGAGAGAUCUAGGUAGAGAAAUUGUGCGUUCAGAGAACUACCACAACUCUCACCAACGUAGUAGAUUGUGGGAUUAUGAGGAAGCCUUGGCAGUGCUAGAGAGCAAGAAGGUAACUUUAUAUUUUUCUUUUGCUCCCGUAGUCUAUGUUCUUUUGUUUUAAAUGAUGUCAGUUAUUGUGCUGGUAUUAUUUUAUUGACGUGAUUAGGAAAGGAGGUUGCUCUUUCUUAGGGAGUGCUGCAGUUUCUCUUCAAAUUUCUGUUUUUGUGGUUUUUUUUUUUGUUGAUCAGUUGUACUCUAUUCCUAUUUUCACUCUCACUCUCACUCUCAUUCUUACUUUCAAACUUUUGUCCUACUUCCUCUCCCUUCUCAUAUGAGAAGGGUGGCCAUUUGGGCAAAUCCUAAUAGUUCACUUUUGUUGUUUUGAAAGUCAAAAAUAUCAACGGUGAACCCAAUCAUAAAAAUAAUGUACAAAAUUAACCAGCGAAUACUCAAAUGCAGACUUUUCCAGUUUGUAUAUUGAGAGAAACAAAAUAACUGACCCAGGUAAGCCAUAAUUAAAAAGUAUGCUUUAAAGUAGAGCCUAAUUUAACUGAUGCGCGUCUUAUCUUUUAUGGUUGUCGGCUGACAUCUAUGAUCUUAUCAACUGAAUCAAAAUAAUCAUCCUAAUUAAUUUUGAAAUUUAGUUAAUGCAACUGAUUUAGAAUAAUCAGUCAUGCUCAUUCAUUUAGUGAGUUAUACUUCGGUUGUUUUGUUGUAUUCGUAAGUCACUUGUUUAUGCUCAUUCACGUAUCAUCUUAAGGACUUUGAUAGGAAUAUUCAGGGAAGAGAAAAGGAAAAAAUCCCUAAAACGUAAAAUUCCUCUUCCUUCAUGUGAUAUUAUAGAUGUGCGCGCUCUUUUUUUUUUUUUUUUUUUUGCCACGACUAGUCAGAGAGCACACAGAUUGUUUGCAAAGAAAAAUAAUCAAGAAAAUAAGUAAAGAAAAAAUUACGUUUGAAGAUUUGAUUUAUAUUCGAAUCACCGUUUUCAAUUAUCGGGGAUUGAAAAUUUUAAAUUGAUUUUAGAAAGUGUCGGUGAAAUUGAAGAACCACCUCAUACUUAUCUCGAUAACUUUCAGUUAGGGUUCUAUCUAUUGUUUAAUAGUGGCAUUAAUAAAUUGCAUGGACUUUUAUGCAAAAUUUUAGGCAUGAGUUUGAAACUGAAAAUUGGUAUCGAGUUUAAUGUAUAAUUAAGUAGAAAUAAUUGAUAUUAUUUCACUGAGUUGGUAAGAUGCAACAUUUGUGAUCCUUGUACUCGUAGGGAUGUGGAAGGAUUGAAGCCAUUUGUCUGGAGGAAGGCGACUCUAAUUAUAUAUAUGAUCAAGGGAGCUGCACAUUUGCGGAUGAACAAUUUAGAAACUUAUCGAACUUGAGGUUUCUUCACAUGAGUGAUGUGAAUCUUCGCGGAGAUUAUAGUGAUUCAUUUUCUCAGUUAAGAUGGCUCAAAUGGGGGAAGUGUGCCUCAAAUUUUGAAGCACACAACUUUCAUGCAGCGGAAUUAGUCAUACUCGAUUUGUCAGGAAGCUCGAUUUCAGAUGUCUGGCAGGGAUGGCAUUCAAUGAUGGUAUGAUAUAAAAAUAUAUUCUUUUUCUUUUCUUUUGAGUGGGAAUAACUCAUUGCUGACCCCCAUGAUAUAUUCUUUCUUGCAGAAGGCGGAAAAGCUGAAAGUUCUCAACCUCACAAGUUGCCAUUCCUUAAAAAGGACUCCUUACCUCUCAGCUUUCAAAAGAUUGGAGAUUUUGAUCCUUAGAGAUUGUAGCAAAUUGGAGCAAAUUGAUAAUUGUAUUGGAGACAUGGAGAAUCUCAUUUCCCUGGACUUGAGUGGAUGUUCUGGUCUUAAGAAGCUCCCGCUUCAAAUGGCUAAACUAGAACAAUUGAAGGAACUUCUUCUAGAUGAAACUGCGAUACAAGAAAUACCUUCCUUCAUCAGUUCUCUAAAGAAGCUAGAGAUGCUUAGUGCCAGGGACUGCAAAUCAUUAAUUGGAUUUCCGGACUCGGUAAGCAGUUUGGUGACUUUGUCAACCCUUGUCUUAUCAGGUUGUGUUGAGCUUGCAACACUUCCACAUAGCAUUCAGUUCCUUGAGAAUUUGCGGUGCUUGUCAUUGAGAAGCUGCCAACAAUUGAGAGAGAUUCCCAGCUGGAUUGGCAAUUUGAAAUUGUUGACUCAAUUGGACUUGAGUGGAUGUUCGCGUAUUCAGCAGCUACCACCUCAAAUUGGUGAACUAAAACAAUUGAAGGAACUUCUUCUAGAUGAAACUGCAAUACAAGAAAUUCCUUCCUUCAUCAGUUCUCUAGAGAAGCUAGAGACACGGAGUGCCAAUAAUCGCAAAUUAACUCUUUAAGCUGUUUAGUGAAUUUGUCGACCCUUGUCUUGUCAAGUUGUGUUGAGUUUCCAGAUUUCUUGAUAGCAUCGGGUUUCUUGUGAAUUGCUUAUCAUUGGGAUGUUGUGAUGGGUUGAGAGAGAUCCCAACUUAAUUGGGAAGUUGGAAUUGUUGACUUAGCUAGACUUAUCACGGACAAGGAUCACAGAAUUGCUUGAUGAAAGUUCUGGAUCUCGGUAACAAUAGCAUAGAAAAUCUGCCAGGUGGUAUUGGAAGGUUGAAAAAGCUCUGAGAGUUAUAUGCAUGAUGGUGCUCGAAUUUGGGAGGGGAAUACCAAUCAUACAUAAUCUUUCUUCUUUUAAGUCUAGUGCAUUUUGAUUUAAUGCCCAAUAAUCUGGAAUUCUUGUGUAUUUUUAUUCAAAUGGGUGAUUUAUGAUUUAGGUUUUUUUCAUGAUGAAGUGGAAGAUGCAAUAUCAUUUCUGGUCUCUGCUCAUGGUGAAGUUUAGGAUUGUAUUGGUGAUGUUGAUGGUAGUGUUGUCUGCCCAGCUUCCUUAAAUGGCGCCCUAUCUGCUGCCGAUGCUUGGAAGAUUGUUAGAAGUAGCAGUAUUGAAUAACUUUUGUCAGAAUAUUUAAAUAAUAAAUCAUAUUUUUAUUUAAUAGCUUAAGUUUUUAUAGCAGUUGAUAAUGAUCUUACAAAAUUUCACAUGAUAUAAUAGCUGGAAGUCUUGAGUUCGAAUUUUUUCAGGCCACGUUUGUCUUCCCAAUUAAAUUUACACGCUUAUUGCUAGGCAGAAAGAUUAAAUUAAGCGUGAGGGGAAGUGUGAAAAUAUUUGAAUAAUCGAAAAAUGAGAAUGAACUAUAAAUUAUUUUGGGAAGUGUGAAAUAAUUAAAUAAUCGAAAAAAUGAGAAUGAGCUAUAAAUUAUUUUACAUGAAAAGGAAGACUUGACUUUAUUUUUUUGAAAGAGACCUGCAUUAUUCAUGUAAUAUAAGGGAUAUCUAGUAGCUGGUGUUUUGAUGUCGAGGUUUCUCGUGUUGUGGAAAACAAGCAAUUGGAAGAUAGAAUAAAUAGAAAGGAAAUAAAUCACGUACUAGAUUUAUAUGGUUUGGUUGGUGGGACUUAUUCUUCGAAGAGAGUAACAAAUUAUUCCUCUAUAGAUUGAACGAUACAAUGGAGAUUUCAAUCAUACUUGAGUUACUCAAGCACUCUCAUUGUAUCUUAACUCACAAUUACAUUUAAAAACUCACAUGAUGUUUAGCCUUCGUAAUUUUUUAGAAAUUAAUAUCUCAAUUUCACAAAGGAUAUCACAAAUCUUACCGCAAAAUUUAUGGACUUCAAAACACUUGCAAUUUCUUCAUGGUGUAAUUCACGAAGAAGCAGUCGUUUUGAUACUUUUUAUUGAAGAUCAUUAAAUAAUAUCAAUGCAAUAUUUUUUUCAUCAAUUUUAUUUAAUGAUUUAGGUAAGCGAGUCUAAGAUGUGAAAUAUAAACUCUUCAUUGUUAGUUUUAUUGUAGUAUUUGGAUCCAGUCAAUGUAAGUUUAAUUGAAUUAUUUCAUUGUUGAAUUUACUCUAUCGGUUAAGUAUGGUAAAUGCAAUAUGAACUAAAUAGGAUUUGCAUAGUUUAUUUAUUUUUCAUUUUCUAGUCAGCUAUGCUCGAGAGCAUAUGAUUUAUUAUUUAUCAUAAAGAAGUUAGAUUUUUAUCUAGUAUUUCUAUUGGCAAAACAGAUUGAGAAUUAGGAUUAAUAUAACUGAACCUAACUGAGUUAUAUUGGAAUGCGGUCUAUCAUUUUUAUCUUUUUAUAAUUUAUUUUAUUUUACUUCAUUUGAUUUUUAUAUGUCAAUAAAUUUUUGCUAGCAAUUCUGUCGCUCUAAUUUGACCCAGAAGAAGUGUACAUAUUAGCGAAGAUCACUCUCAAAGUAAUCUAUUUUUAAAAAAAGGGAAGGCUAUAACAGGUAUAAUGAAAAGUUUGGAAAUGCCCCGAAAUUGGAAACAACCUCGUCAUAUGAGUAAUAUUUUGGAAUAAGAAUUUAGAAUUCUAGCCUUACAAGUACUUGAAUUUCGAGGGGGAGGUGGUCUGACUGCCAAGCAUGCGCUUAUAGCUGUCAGUCAACAAAUAACUAGUUAAUCACGCAUACAAAAAUUACUAUCUAAUCAAAUAUGCGUUAAGUAAUCUAAAAGUCGUUCGGAUUGACAGGCAUCAUGAAAGCGACUUCCGCAACCUAAUGAUGCUCUGUUUUUCGUUUUCUGUUUUAUUUUUUUUUUGUUGGUAAAAUCAAAGUAGAAGUUCAUUUCAUAGGAUGUCAUUUCAUUUGCAUUUCACCUCCCUUUUGUAGAUCGAGACCAAGACCUCGGCGACUUGGUGGGCCAGGAAGGUGAUGUACUGUGCAUCUUCACCCUUCGUACAAGGCAGUUGGCACCCGAUUAUCUGCUUCAAAGCAAAAGAUGAUCGCUGUAAAUUCAAUUGCCCAUGUGCGGAGGUCGUCAGUGAUGGGCCAGCACCUGCUUCCUGCUCCUUAGUCAAGCCUUAGUACAGUAUAGAUCGGUCGGUCCAUGGAAAAUGAGAAAAUAUUUGGUGGCAUGAGCGCGUCAUGUCAUCUGGUCAUGUGGUGCGCAUCUACCAAUGAGAUAUUGACAUGUGUUCCAUUAGCAAGACCCGCUGGAAAAUGGAAAGGCUGCUUGUUGGCUAGCUCGGCUCGGCUUCGCUGUAGAAGAAAAGACGGGUCGGGGGUCAAUAAAUGCGCAAUACUCCCGCUCAAAAUAUUUCUCUCUCCUCAAUUGAAUUUUCUGAAUUCUCUCUCCUCAUAAAAGAACAAAGAACAACUAAGACUUCCUUUGUUUCGAGAAAAUAUUCAAUGGUUUGUAAUCACCACGUCACUCGCCUACCCAACGUGCGUGUUCCAUUCAAAUUGCGUCACGUGCUCAUUACGUGGAAUUAAAAACUUUGAAUCCUAGUGCUUGUUUCUCUCUCCUACAGACUGAGUAAAAGACUGGCACAAGUAAAAUUAAUGCAUUACCUUCUCUCUCUCCUCUUUGUAGGUCCUCCUUCACGACCUCUCUCUUUUGCAAUAAAGGCCUCCAUCUCCAUCCUCUCUUCCUCUCCCUUCCUCCUUCUUCACCUUUCCGCCUCCUCGUCGUCUUUCCGUCUUCGACUCCCUAAACAAUCAAUCGGCCUCUCGAACUCUCCUUCAUCUUCUACUCGUAGUCCAAUCCACAUUUCCAGCUCGGAUAUGUCGCCAACGAUUUUGAAGUGGAACUAGGUUGCAAGGAGGAGGUUGGAUAUUUUAGUUGUGGCAUUUGUUAGAGAAAACUCCUUUAUUGUUUGGAAAAAUGUCACAAAUGGUCCUUAUACUUUUACUUAAUGUGUAAUCUCGUCCCUGUACUUUCAAUUUGCUCAAUUUGGUUCCUAAACUAUUGAUAAAUGUUCGAUCUAGUCCCUGAGCUUUUGAUUUGCUUAAUUUGGUCCCUAAACUAUUGAUAAAUAUCCGAUUUAGUCAUUCGGUUACUUUUUUUUUUCUUUUCAUUUAUUAUUAUUUUUUCUUCUUCUCUCUUCCCUCCGCCGGCUCCAGCCGGCAGAGGGAAGUCGGCGUCCAGCGAGGGUUGCCCUCGCCAGAUGCAGGCGAGGGCGGCCCUCACUAGCGUUGGGCGAGGUGCUCCCUCGCUAGAUUUGCAAGGGGCUCCCUCGCUAACGCCGGCGAGGGCCGCCCUCGAUUGCGUCGAGCGAGGGCAACCCUCGCCGGAUGCUGGCUUCCCUUCACCGGCUCCGCCAUGGCAAGGGAGGGAAGAGAGAAGAAGAAAAAAAAAGAAAAAAGAAAAAGAAAAAGAAAAAGAAAAAAGAAAAAAAAGGAAAAAAAAGUAACCCAAUGACUAAAUCGGACAUUUAUCAAUAGUGUAGGGACCAAAUUGAGCAAAUUGAAAGCUCAGGGACUAGAUCGGACAUUUAUCAAUAGUUCAGGGAUCAAAUUGAGCAAAUUAAAAGUUUAUGGACGAGAUUGCACAUUAAAUAAAAGUAUAGGGACCAUUUGUGACAUUUUCCCUUAUUAUUUUGAUCUAACAAAACCUUUCCGAAAGUCUAAUAUGAAGGCUUACAGACGCAAGUGUUAUAGUCUAAAGAAAUCCAAACUCUACUGUUAAAGUUUGAAGAUCGUUAGACUUUAAUCUUAAAGUCUGCUCUCAUUGACAGAUUUCAGAUACGAGUUUAUCUUCGAGGAUUUGGUUUGUAUAAUUUGUGGAAGAUCUUACGGCUGGAUAUUGCACUUUAUAAUCAAUUAUUCUUAUUGAAAUCAAUUUAGAUAAUCAGAUCUCUUGGAAGGCGAAGUAUACUUGGAAGGUUCUACUUAUGGAAACUAAGAUCCUGAUUGUAUGGGCGAGCAUGAUUGAUGGUCUAUCAUUACAUUCCUUAAACGACUCGAGAUCUCCUUAAUUGAUUCUGUCCAAUGGGUAGAUUAGAAGAACUCAUUUGGAAAGUGCCAAUGGUUAUAGAGGCAUAGAGGAGUAUAUAAGGAAGACUCUCAAGUUGUUCAAGAGUGUGCGUGAAAGAAAAAUUUCAAAGUUUGAAACUUCCCAAUUCUUUGCUAUUUCAAUCGCUAAGCUUAACUUAUACUCAAAAGAGAGCGAACACUUGUGAGACUUUGGUGGAGUGUAGUAGAGGUUCUACACUGUAAAGUCAAGGACGUGAGACUGUAAAAUCUCUUUUGUUUCAUAGUGAAAUCCAGCCAAUGGGCUAUCAACCCAGGAGAGUGGACGUAGACUUGAUCUAAGCCAAACCACUAUAAACAUUGUGUUUCUAUUCUCUUUCCCUACAACUCCUUAUUUUAAUUUGUAGCUUUAUAUAACUGUUUAAAGCUAAUUACAUCCUUAUUUUAUUAUCUUCCAAUAGCAAUUUACUAAGUCUUGCGAAAAUUUCUUUCAAACACCUAUUCACCCCCUUUAGGUGUUAAUACUAACCAUUUCAACGUUGAGUUUUGGAGUUUCGGCAACGGCUACAAAGGAUAUUGUGGCGGAGGAGCCUCUCUCUGUCUCUCUCUGUCUCUCUCUCUCUCUCUCCUGUUUUCUUCUUUGGCGGAGGAGAGAGAGAAGUAUGCCAAAGCCAUUAGCCUUCUACUAUGUUCCGGCUUAUUCCUUUCCUUGGCCGGACUGGCUGAUUUCUCUAGUUUUGGUGGAAACUUAUGUUUAGCGUGGCUUAGACUCGUUGUUGCAAUGGUGGCCGCGUCGAUGGCAUCGAAUGGAAUGAAGCGGACUUGGCUUGGUUGGGAGGAGUGUUGACGUUGUGGUGGCACAGAGCAGUGACCAUCAAGGCCUAAUGGUGAAAAAGGCUAGGCAAAGUGAACAUAGAAUAUUGGCCACGUCUCCUCUUUAUUUUUUGUUAUUUUGUGCUUAAUUGCUGAGAUUGUCUUUCAAAAGUUGGAAUGAAUUCUUCUCUUUUCCUUGGUUGAGUAAACCGGUGCCUUGUUAGUUUGCUUUUGCCAUAUCUAAUACUGAACUCUUUCCAUGCACGCUUGAUCACUUGAAGAAGAUUCAUCACUAUAUGCUUCCCUGUUUUGUUCGUAUUGAUAUGGCCAAAUCCUUGACGAUAGGAAAUCACGUGCCCACAAAUUUGGCCUAUAUUCUCAAGAAAAAUAUUUGUGGUAUCUCCAAUGAUGCAUUGCUUAAAUGUGCGCUCUUCCUGUUUUUUACAGUGCCUUCACCAUCACUUCUAUUGGUGAUUAGCCUAAUCUGUAGACUUUUGAUUUUUAAAAUAUUAUGACUCCAUUAUUCUUUUUAAUCAUGUAUCAUUGGGGAAAUUUUAAUCCGGAAUAGCUUUGUGGAAGGCCAAAGUAUUAGCUUGAACUAGUGAUCAUCCCCUUUAAGCAUCACUUUGGUGGCUCUUGUUGCAGCAGUAUCACUACCGCUCAAAAUUAAGACUAAGUGAAAACGAAUUCUGAAUUCUUUUCAACAUUUUUGUGUAUGUGUCCCAAAAUCAAGCUUCGUGGUUCCACCUGCUUAAUAAUACUUCUUAACAUUAAGCAGGGAAGGAAGAUUUUUUCUGCAGAAUCCUCACAUUGAGAAAAGGAAAAGCAAACAUAAAACGAGAAAAAAAUAAAAAUUAAAGGAAGGGCUCCGACUAAAAAACAAGAAAGAAUGAUAGAAAUGUUUUGCAUCACUGCUUGCAAAUACAGGGUGCGUUUGGGAAGACUUUUGGGGAAAGUCUUUGAGAAAAUAUAAAGAUACUUGAGUCAAAGGAAUUUUUCAAAAUGCAAAUUGUGUUUGGUAAAUGGUACUUGUGAAAGUCCAUUGUGAAGUAUCUUUGAGUAAAAUAAUGUUUGGAUAAAUUAAAUUUGCAAAAUACUUUUGUUAUUAAAAAAAAGGGAAAAAAGGAGAGUUGGCCGACCAAGGCUUCGCCGGUUACCGCUGGCGAAGGGUAGGCGGUCCGGCGAGGGGGAGGCAGCGCGGUGAAGGUUAGGCUGUUCGGCGAAGGGCCGCGACCCAGAUCGCGAGAUCCUGGUCACCGCGACCCUCGCCGAGCCGUCGUGCGACCCACCAUGCCAUAGAGGUCGCCGGCGCUCACGAUUUGGUCGCCUCGACCCAGAUUUGCGCGACUAGAUCUGCGCACAAUUUGGGUUGCCGGCGUCCUCCGCGCGGUGACCCUCAUCGAAGGGUCGUGGGACCCUAGUCGGACCACUUGCCCUUCGCCGAACCACCUGUCCUUCACCAGCGACUGCGCGUAGAUGCUGGCCGUGUUCUCAGUAGAGAGAAGGGAAGGAUGAAGACGAUGAACAGUAGUCGGGGUAAAGCCGGAAAAACAAAAAAUUAACAAGGACAAUUUCGGAAGAAAAAUAUUCAUUAUCUUUAAGGCCAGCAUUUCGAGAAUGCCCAAGGCAGCCCCCAACCUGCCUUGGGCUUUCAGCCUUGGGAAGGCUUUGCAUUUGGCAAAGGCAAGUGAAAAAAAGUUCCCAAACACUCAACAUUUGGCUCAAAGGCCUUUAGCCCUUCAAAGGCCCUUGGGAAAGCUGUUCCCAAACGGAGCCAUAAACCCAACUGAUGAUGAAGUAGACAAACAAGAAGUUUAAGCACAUCACAUAUCUUCACGCCCGCAUAUGUUGUCCAUAGUCUCUCUAGCCCUCCGCCUCAAUAUCCGUUGCGGCCGUCGUCAGAACCUCAAAACUUAGUGCUACUAUUGAAAUAUCUAGCCUCCUCCUCACAGCCUAGUUCCGCUUCAAAAUCAUUGGCGACGUAUUGAGCCGAAAAUUAGGAUUGAACUAAGAGUAGAAGACGAAGGAGCAUUCGAGAGGCUGGUCGGUGGUUUUUGGAGCUAGAGCCGGAAAGACAAUGAGGAGGCGGAAAGGCGAAGAAGAAGGAGGAAGGGAGAGGAAGAGAGGAUGGAGAUGGAGGCCUUUGUUGUAGAAGAGAGAGGUCGUGAAGGAGAACCUCAUCUCUACAAAGUGGAGAGAGAGAAGGCAAUGCAUUAAUUUUUACUUGUGGCAGUCCUUUACUCAGUCUGCAGGAGAGAGAAACAAGUGCUAGGAUUCAAAUGUUUUAAUUCCAUGUAAUGGGCACGUGGUGCAAUUUGAAUGGAACACGCACGCCAGGUAGGUGAGUGUGGUAGUUUGAAACCACUUAAUAUUUUUUUGAAUCCUUCUUUGUGCAUCCCAUCUCUUUCGCCUCCGUCUUUGGCUUCGGCUCCGCCUACGCCUGCCCAGAAGCCUCACCGGUCAUCUGCCUUUGGCAUCUUCCGUCUCUAGCAUUUGCUCGUCUUCCCUGUCUCGCUGGCCUCUGUUGCAAAGCCAUCGGCCUCUAGCAGGAGGGAGGCGACCCUGGUCUCGUUCCCAAGCGGCACCAGGCUCCCCGCCACUAAUUGGGCCGCUCGGUCGCAAGGGAGAUCUCAGCGGACUUGGGCGGGGUCGAUGGCACGAAGAAGAAGGAGAGGCGUGGGCUGGAGAAGGAUUCCUGCUUGCUGUGGAGGAGGUAUGUGAAUCGGUUGUACCAACACCGGGAGCUAGGGCUUUUCUUGGACGUGAGCUGGAUCGACUUCAUGGACGAGUUCAUGGAGGAGAUGGAGCCCUAAUUCCAAGCCGCGUUCAAGGCGAUGGAGGAGCUGGAGAAGGGUGCAAUGGCGAAGCCAGACGAGGGCUGUAUGGUCGGGCACCAGUGGUUGAGGAAGUCGGAGCUUGUGCUGACCCAAUCCUGAAGGCGCAGAUUGAGAGCACACUUGACGCCGUUUGCAAUUUCGCUAUUGACAUGGUCAGCGGCAAGGUCAGUUCUGGAAUUUCAUUUGUUGUUACUCUUCGUACGGUAAGAGAGGCUGUAGUUCUUUUUUUUUUUUUUUUUUCGAUUUGCUAUUAUAGUUGCCUGUGUCAGAUUUCCGGUAAAUGUGAACAUUGUCUUAGUUGCUCCAGAAAGCGUGAGUUGAGGAUAAAUUGAAGUGGUUUCUGGUGAAAUAGAUGGAGAGCUCAUUUACGAAACAGUCAUUUGAAAUGACCGUGUAUGGAAAUCUCCUACUCUGAUACGCAGUAGUUUCAAAAUGACAAUUCAAAAGAUUCCGAUUAAUUAAUGUGUAUGAAAAAUAUAUUUUUCCAUUUGAUCUCCAUGGGCAAUACCUGGGCUGUGUACUCUGAGACGCAGUCAGGUAUUAACUCUUUUAGUAUGCAUUAUUGUGUAUGAAAAAUAUCUUUUUCAGUUUGAUCUCUCUUAUUGUUCUAUCGAUAUGCUUUUGUUCUUUAGGAAGCAAUAUUCUUGCCUCCAUGGAUUGCCCUUGCUGUGCGUCCCAGGCCCGGUGUGUGGGAGUACAUUAGGGUAAAUAUCCAUGCCCUUGUUGUUGAGGAGUUGCAAGUGACCGAGUUCCUUCAUUUCAAGGAAGAACUUGUCGAAGGAAAGUAAGUCUUUCUUUUUUCAUUUUUGGCUUUUAGCACCACAUGGAUGCUAGCUUACUUUGCUUUUGUUGGAAGGGCUGUAGGUUACUCGAAUUUGUGGAUUGUUGGCAAUCACAGCAUUACAUCAUGAGAUCUAUAAUAUGCAAAUGAAUGCCUUUUACCUGCUGUAGUUUGAAUGGAAACUUUGUGCUCGAAUUGGACUUUGAGCCAUUCACCGCCCAAUUUCCCCACCCAACUCUUUCGAAGUCCAUUGGAAAUGGAGUGGAGUUCCUCAACCGCCACCUUUCGGCAAAGCUCUUCCAUGACAAGGAGAGGUUGCACCCUCUGCUUGAGUUCCUUCAAGUUCAUUGCUACACAGAAAAGGUAAGCCCAUCGGCAGAUAACACUCAUCUCACUCUCUCGGAUCUACUUCUUAUGCACCGUGUGUAUCACUCAAUUGUAUUAACAAUAUUGUGUAAAUGACAACUCAAAGGAAACAUUGCGACAUUCACAUAACUUCAUGACUGUUGAAAGGACAGUUCAGAGCUGCUCAUAUUUUAGAUGCAUGGACUGAAUCCCUUUUUUUUUCACAAACAAUUACUUGAGACUCAUUUAUGCUGAUCUGUGAUGCAGAACAUAAUGGUCAACACAAGAAUUCAAAAUGUCUUCUCGCUCGAACAUGUCCUGAGGAAGGCAGAGGAGUACCUCUCUGCCCUCAAACCCGAGACACCUUACUCUCAGUUCGAGCACAAGUUUCAGGAAAUUGGGCUAGAGAGGGGCUGGGGCGACACCGCCGAGCGUGUGCUUGAAAUGAUCGAGAAUUUCUUGGGAAGAAUCCCCAUGGUCUUUAAUGUUGUUAUCAUGUUGCCUCUCGGUUACUUUGCCCAAGACGAUGUCCUCGGAUAUCCCGAUACCAGUGGCCAGGUAUCUUGAUUUAGCAUCUCUUGCCAGUAUUUCUACAUGCAAUUCCAUCAUCAUGCGUUGUUCACAUUUUGUAGGUUGUGUACAUCUUGGACCAAGCAUUGGAGAGUGAGAUGCUUCACCGUAUCAAACAACAAGGGCUGGAUAUUACUCCUCGGAUCCUCAUCGUAGGUUCUUGCUUUUUUACUAAUAUUUGAAUAGUUUUUUGCUGGCCAAUCCAACUAACUCGUUAUGUUUGUUUUGUGUCCUACCCCUUUUGGCUGCAGGUCACUCGUCACUCGUCUUCUUCCUGAUGCAGUAGGAACCACGUGCAACCAGCGUCUUGCGAAGGUUUUUGGAACAGAAUACUCCCACAUUCUUCGAGUUCCCUUUAGAACGGAGAAAGGGACGGUGCGAACGUGGAUUUCAUGAUUUGAAGUGUGGCCUUACUUGGAAACAUACACCGAGGUAUAUUAGCUCAUAAGAUUAUACUUUGCGAGGAUUUCUUGUUUGUUGGAAAAAACUUUCUUAUUUGUUUUGAAGCUGACAAAAGUUUCCAUUAGUCUAGUCUGAAGACUUGCAGACUCUUUCGUCAAAGUCUAAAGACCGCCGGACCGCCAGACUCAAGAUUUAAAGUCUACCCUCAUUGACAGUUUCUAAACAGACUUAUUCAGAAUUGAGUAUCUCUUUAAGGAUUUGAUUCUAUCAACUAAAAAAGAUCUCACGGCUGGAGAUAGCAUCUCGGAAUCUAUUAUUUGUCUUGAGAUUAAUUCGGGUAAUUUGGAUCCGUUGAAUAGCGAAGCAUACUUAGAAGGUUUUACUUAUGGAAACCUAGAUCUAUCCAACAGGUAGAUUGGAAGAAAUCCUUUGGAAAGUGCCGAACCACUAUAAGCCUCGUAUUCUUAUUCUCUUCCCUAAACUCAUUUACUUUGUUUGUAAAUUUAUUGAAUUGUUAGAGUCUCAUUUACUUUUACUGUUAAACAGAAUCAGGUUAAAAGUAAAGUUUUACACUAUUUUUUAUAAAAAUUUAUUUUCGCACUUAUUCACACAUUCCAAUCUUUCGUAAUAUGAAGACUAACCUUAUCUUCUCUCAUCAGGAUUUUGCCAAUGAAAUUGCUGGAGAACUACAAGGCAAGCCCGAUCUGAUCGUUGGCAAUAACAGUGAUGGUAACAUUGUUGCUUCUUUGCUGGCCCAUAAAUUGGGCGUUACGUAGGUUUGUCCCUUCCUAGUUUUACUCUCUAUAGUGGCACUAUGAUUAAUCAAAGACUAAAUGCUAAAUAUUAGUUUCUUCUGAUUUAUUAUGCAGUGCACGAUAGCUUAUGCCCUUGAGAAGACCAAAUACCCGGAAUCUGACAUCUACUGGAAAAAAGUUCGAGGAAAAAAUAUCAUUUCUCUUGCCAGUUUACAGCAGAUCUCAUAGCCAUGAACCACACCGACUUUAUAAUCACCAGCACCUUCCAGGAGAUUGCCGGAAGGUAACUGAUCUUUCUUUCAGAUGUGGAUUCAUGCUAAAAUGCUCCUCCAUCUACCGCAAUGUGCUAAACUGCUCAUAUAAUUAUAUGUUUUCAGCAAGGAUAUGGUUGCGCAACAUGAGUCACACCACUUUUACACUUCCUUGACUGUACCGAGGUGUCCAUGGCAUUGAUGUUUUCGAUCCCAAAUUCAACAUCGUGUCACAAGGAGCUGAUAUGAGCGUUUAUUUCUCCUACACGGAGGAGAAGCGGAGGUUGAAAUCUUUCCAUGCUGAGAUUGACGAACUGUUCAGUGAUGUGGAGAACAAGGAACACCUGUGAGUUUUUGGAGUUUUUUUCCCCUCCCAUACUGGACUUGGACCUACAUUAGCAUCCUGUCACCAGGAGCUGAUACGAGCAUUUAUUUCUCCUACACGGAGGAGAAGCGGAGGUUGAAAUCUUUCCAUGCUGAGAUCGAAGAACUAUUCAGUGAUGUGGAGAACAAGGAACACCUGUGAGUUUUUGGAGUUUUUUUCCCCUCCCAUACUGGACUUGGACCUACAUUAGCAUCCUGUGUUUUGAAUGAUAAUGUUCAAGUUCAAACAAAAGCUGACAUGGAUGUGUUGGUUAAUGUCAAAACAGAUGCGUAUUGAAGGACCGGAACAAACCAAUCUUGUUCACCAUGGCAAGACUGGACCGUGUCAAGAACUUGACUGGGCUGGUCGAGUGGUACGGAAAGAACACCCGCCUGAGAGCUGGUCAACUUGGUUGUGGUCGGUGGUGACCAGAGGAAGGAAUCUAAGGACUUGGAAGAGCAAGCCGAGAUGAAAAAGAUGUACGGGCUGAUUGAGACGUACAAUUUGAAUGGCUAGUUCAGGUGGAUCUCCUCCCAGAUGAACCGGGUGAGAAACGGAGAGCUUUACCGGUACAUCUGCGACAUGAGGGGAGCCUUUGUGCAGCCUGCUCUCUACGAGGCUUUUGGACUGACAGUGGUGGAGGCCAUGACAUGUGGAUUGCCGACCUUUGCAACUUGCAAAGGCAGUCCUGCUGAGAUCACUGUGCACGGCAAGUCUGUAUUCCACAUUGAUCCUUAUCACGGGGAUCAGGCAGCGGAGAUCCUGGCGGACUUCUUCAAGAAGUGCAAGGUGGACCCAAGCCGCUGAGACAAGAUCUCACAGGGGGCGAUGCAGAGAAUCGAGGAGAAGUAAGGACCGGGAUUCUUGUUAGGUUCAAUCUUUGAUAGGGAAAAAGAGCACAUUUCAACUUGUUCAAGAAACAAGUGGGUAACAUGUGUUGCUUUGCUUCUGGCAGAUAUACAUGGCAAAUUUACUCCGAGAGGCUACUUCAAGAGGCUGCUCAACUUGGUGGCGGUGUACGGCUUCUGGAAGCACGUCUCGAAUCUCGACCAUCUCAAGAGCCACCGCUACCUGGAAAUGUUCUAUGUCCUCAAGUAUCAGAAAUUGGUAAGAGACUCGGCUUCUCAUCAGAUCAUGAGCGCGACAAUCUGCACGCAUAUUUUGACUCCUUGUUCGAAUAUUCACACACUGCUCCUUUGUCUUGACAGGCCGAGUCGGUUCCCCUUGCCGUUGAGUGAGUUAGAGGUGAACAAAAGGGCAUAUCUCAAGAGGCAGACAGCUCCAAAUUCUCUCGAGAGUUGAGGAAUAAUUGCCAUUGCAUUGGAUUGGAAGAGAGCCUUUUCUUUUGCUUUUCUUUUUGCAACUGCUUUUGUCAAUCUUUCUUUUGCUUCUUUCUGCUGUGAAUGUAUGUUGGGUUAGGUUCUUCAAAAAGUCAAUUCAAUGAAAUUUCCUUCUUCUUUUCCCCAGUGUCCCCUCAAGUUACCUGUUGUCUUCCACUUGUAAGUUCACGUUCAACCAUUUUUCCUUCGCUUUUAAGCUAGCAAUGUGCAUCCAAAUGUGUUACUCGGAUCAACGACGGUAGCGAGUCCCUUGAAUAUAGCACAAGACUAUCCAAAAAAAAUAAAAAAUUGCCGAGGCAAAAUAAGUCUUUUAAAAUAAAUCACAAGGAAAACUUAUAUAUCAGAAUUGACUGUUUGUUCCAGUCAGCUGUACACAUCUGACGUAUGGAGAGAGGACAAUCAAUACAAAAGAACAGGAGGUGGAGAGAGCUCGCACCGUACAAUUUAAUGUUGAUUCUGUUAUUUAUACACACAUCGACACAACGCACUAUCAAAAUUGCCUUCUAUUUCUGAGGUAUUCUAUUUCUAUCUACACCUUCAUGAGUAAAAGAAGAAAAAAAGCAGCGGAGGCUAAAACCAUCUCCCAUUACCGAUGCGCCUACCCAGAAAUAGAAUGCAGAGAGUUCCAUACCCUCCAAAUCGUGCAUCAAUCCACUAGUCAUGUAGCUACUCCCGUAUGGGUCUUGUAAGUUCCUUUUUCAUGACGGCUUCUCUUGGAUAGAACAUAAUUGCCAGCACCAAAGAGAAUGUAAGGCCAACUAUCCCGCUGAAUGGUUGGAAAGGAUGAGUCCCCGUUAUCCAAAGGGGGAAAUUGGGGUUGUAGAUCAAAAAGCCACCUGAUUGGAGUGUAACUUGAGACUAAUAUCCCUGCACGGAGCCCAAUUGGAACACAGAGGCUACCUUCACUAAUUUGUCGAAGCCCGGCCAAGCUUAGUGGUAAGAGCCACAGCCCAGGUAUUGCCCAUGGAGACCUGAAAUGCGGCGGAUAAGUCAAGUAUCUUUGAUGUUGACUCAAAGGGAAGAUCAGGUUAUAAGAAAAUUGAUCAAGUACAUGAUGGAAACAUGAACUAGGUUCGAAGCAGACGCUUUAACCUAAAAGAGAAAGGAUGAAAGAUCAAGCUAAGAAGAAAGAACGUUGUCCUCAUUGUAGCUGCUAAAGAAUGUGACAUGACAAUAACAGAUCUAAGCCUUUCAAGAAGGCAAGUUUGGCAAGUCAUAAGUUUGCCUUCAUCGUCAGAAUGUUUAUUAUGUAAACUUCUCUCGAUAAAAAAAAAAACAAAAAAUUUGCAAGCAUGUUCAAUCUAGAACCAAGAUUUCAGUAAGAACAGUUUAGCAGUGUUGCAUGAUUACUUCAAAAUAGAAAAAGGUGGUCACCAAGUUACAACCUGAUUUCCAGGAGUGCUGAUUUGCUUGUCAUAUUUUGAGUAACAUGCUUUUCCUGGCCCCAAUAGACAUUUUCCCGCAACAAAUGAAGAACAGAAAACUGAAGCAUGACUUAAUUAAAGCAAUGUACGUCCGGAACAGGGAGAAUGCAAGCCUUGACAAAAUAAUUCCCGGGUGAUAUCCAAGAUCAGCAGCAAUGUCUUCAGUUAACCAUGAUCUGAAAAACAACUCUUCCACAAGGGCAACAGAAGUUGCUGAACAGCACCUCGACCAACCAAGAUGAGAAUUUGCCCAUAUGACUUGAGCCUUGUCAUGGCAUCUAAAGACGAUGAAUGAAGAAUUGGAGGCCAAGAAAAACUCACGCAGCCUAAUAAUGAAUUAACAUACUGUAUGGACAAAACAAGCAAAAUUCCCCCAACCAAACUGCUAAAAAAAGCUUGGAUCUGCAAACAAAAAGCUGAAAUGAGCUCAUUAAGAAGAAAUCCCUGGGAAACAUCUCAUGCAUAGCAACUCUGAUGAAGUAAAGCCAGUGCAGCACCACAGAAGAAUUUUUAAAAAGAGAACGAACUGCAAUGAAUCUUAGGUCAGUAGCAAAGGCAUAUAAGAAGAAACCAAACAGCUGGACUUGUUUGAACCACAUUAUUCAAGCUCGUGAUAUUCAACUCACUGCAUUAGCUUUUCAAAUGGAACUUGAGUUUACUAAAAUUUGCUUUGAAUGGUAUGCAAGCCAAAUCUAGUAUUUAGUGACUGUUAUAAUAUGUCUAAUGGCUUUUAUUAUGGCAUUUACACUCUAUCCAUGGUCUCUCUCUCCCCCCCUCCCCCCCCCCCCCAAAGCACACACUAUUUUUUGGAUUGGGCUCCCUCACUAAUCAUCUUUUCAUCAAAGUUUUUGUUCUUGUUCAACUCUGCUCUAGUUAGUAUCUUUAAAGAGAACAUGAAACUCAAUGACUUGUCGGUGAAACUUCUAUAGGCAGGGGGAAAAAACCUAGGACCAAAACCUGUUUUGCAAAUUCCAAUCCCGUUUCAUGAAAGGCCUUAUGUACUUCCAAUAAGCCAUUUCUGGUUUCAGGAUUGCCACCACUCUGUAGGAUAGGAAAUAACAAUGGAUUACUAUAUAUUCUUCUAAUCUGCAUAAAGGAGAGAUCACAAAGCAAAAUACAUGCACGCACCUUUGAUAUCACAAUAACUAGGGUAGAAGAGGGCUUAGGACCAAGGUGCGCACUUUGAUGGUCAAUUCCAGUCGGAUCUGUGUUGUCAAUGAAUCUAAUCUGCCAAAAGUAAAAUUGAGAUAUCAUCUAGACCGUCAAAAGUCAAAAAGUCGCUAACACAGGGUAUUCACCCAAUGUGCCGAGACUCAUAACUAAACAUUCAUCCAUAGCUUGUAACUUUACUUAAAUCUGAUGCGCAAAAUCUAAAGGACGAAGACAGAAGACCUAUGUACAGUUUGAUCAACCAAAGUAGAUCUUUUUUCAUUGUGCAUAAGUGAAUCAAGCAGCAUAUACACUUGCUCCAAAUAAUGGAGGAGAAAUGUGAGCAGGAAGUAUACAGGGAAGGGAGUUGGAUCAUUUUCAUAUCUAUAGUGAUGAACUUGCAACGAAAAGCCCAAAGUGGAAUGAUAUCACGACUAAUCCAAGUAGGAAGAAUAGCAUUAAGAGAACUGCUCACUUGAGGGAAGAGUUGCCAAGACUUGAGAAAUAAUUUUAACUAGUAGAAACGGCAAGAAAGGAUGAAGACAAACAAGCCACCACCAACUCAUCUACAAUGUCUGAAGACACCUUCAAUGGAGGAUUAUCGGGAGCCAAUGCCUUUGCAAUAAACUGUGGCCCAAGAGUUGAACCCCCAAUUCCAACUGAAAGUACUUGAGUAAAGCGAUCCACGGGAGAAGUAGGAGGGGGAUUAACUUGCAAAUUAAGCAUCAAACAUUAUCAAGUCAAUCAUUGCGUCCGUGUCCAAUACAAUCAGCUUGCACCCUAAAAAAAACUGAAUUUCAUGCUGACAUUAAUCGGGAAAGCAGUAGUCAUUUUGAAACUACUGCGUCUCAGAGUAGGAAAUUUCCAUACACAGUCAUUUCAAGUGACUGAUUCAUCAAUGAGCUCUCCAUCUAUUCCACUAGAAACCACUUCAAUUUAUCCUCAUCUCACGCUUUCGGGAGCAACUAAGACAAUGUUCACAUUUACCAGAAAUCUGACACAGGCAACUACGAUAGCAAACCGAUAAAAAAAGAAAAAAGAAAAAAGAAAAGCAAGAAACUACAGCCUCUCUUACCACACAGAGAGCAACAAUGAAUGGAAUUCUAGAACUGACCUUACCACUGACCACGUCGGUAGCGAAAUUGCAGAUGGCGUCGAGUGUGCUCUCAAUUUGCACCUUUAGGAUCAGGUUGGCCAUCGCGAUCUACAAGCUCUGUCUUCCUCAACCAGUGGUGCCCAACCAUGUGGCCCUCGUUCGGGUUUGCCAUCGCACCCUUCUCCAGCUCCUCCAUCGCCUUGAACGCAGCCUGGAACUGGGGCUCCAUCUCCUUCAUGAACUCGUCCGUGAAGCCGAUCCAGCUCACGUCCAGGAAAAGCCGUAGCUCCUAAUGCUGGUACAGCCGAUUCACGUACCUCAUCCAUAGCAAGCAGGAAUCCUUCUCCAACCCAUGCCUCUCCUUCUUCUUCACGCCAUCGACCCCGCCUAGGUCUGCGGAGAUCUCCCUUGCGACCGAGCGGCCCAGCAUCAGAAUCAAUGCCUAGUCAGCGGUGGGGAGCCUGGUGCCGCUUGGGAACGAGACCGAGGCCGCCUCCCUCCUGCCAGAGGCCGAUGGCUUUGCGGCGGAGGCUGGCGGGACGGGGAGGAUGAGCAAAUGCUAGAGACGGAGGAUGCCAGAGGCGGAUGACCAGCGAGGCUUUUGGGCAGGCGUAGGUGGAGCCAAAGACAGAGGUGGAGGAGGUGGGAUGCACGGAGAAGGAUCCGAGAAAAUAUUAAGUGGUUUCAAACUACCAUGUCACUCGUCUACCUGGCGUGUGUUUUCCAUUCAAAUUGCGCCAUGUGCCCAUGACAUGGAAUUAAAAAAUUUGAAUCCUAGCGCUCAUUUCUCUCUCCUUUAGACUGAGUGUAGGACUGCCAUAAGUAAAAUUAAUGCAUUGCCUUCUCUCUCUCUCUUCUUUGUAGAGAUGAGGUCCUCCUUCGGGACCUCUCUCUUCUGCAACAAAGGCCUCCAUCUCCAUCCUCUCCUCCUCUCCCUUCCUCCUUCUUCAUCUUUCCACCUCCUCAUUGUCUUUUCAGCUCCGGCUCCAAAAACCACCCACCGGCCUCUCGAAUGCUCCUUCGUGUUCUACUCUUAGUUCGAUCCUGAUUUCCGGCUUGAUACGUCGCCAAUGAUUUUGAAGCGGAACUAGGCUGCGAGGAGGAGGCUAGAUAUUUUAGUAGUAGCACUAAGUUCUGGGGUUUUGACGACGGCUGCAACGGAUAUUGAGGCAGAGGGCUAGAGAGGACUAUGGACAACAUAUGCGAGCAUGAAGAUAUGUGAUGUGCUUAAACUUCUUGUUUGUCUGCUUCAUCAUCCGUUGGGUCUAUAUUUGCAAGCGGCGAUGCAAAACAGUUCUAUCCUUCUUUCUUGUUCUUUAGUCGGAGCCCUUCUUUUAAUUUUUUUUUCCUCAUUUUAUGUUUGCUUUUCCUUUUCUAAAUGUGAGGAUUCUACAGAAAAAAUCUACCUUCCUGCUUAAUGUUAAGAAGUAUUAUUAAGCAGGUGGAAUCACGAAGCUUGAUUUUGGGACUUAUACACAAAAAUGCUUAAAUGAAUUUGGAAUUCGUUUUCGCUUAGUCUUAAUUUUGAGCGGUAGUGAUACUGCUGCAACAAGAGCCACAAAAGUGAUGCUUAAAGGGGAUGAUCACUAGUUCAAGUUAAUACUUUGGCCUUCCACAAAGCUAUUCCGGGUUAAAAUUUCACCAAUGAUACAUGAUUAAAAAGAAUAAUGGAGUCAUAAUAUUUUAAAAAUCAAAAGUCUACAGAUUAGGCUAAUCACCAAUAGAGGUGAUGGUGGGGGCACUGUCAAAAAAAGGAAGAGCGCACAUUUAAGGAAUGCGUCAUUGGAGAUACCACAAAUAAUUUUCUUGAGAAUAUAGGCUAAAUUUGUGGGCAGGUGAUUUCCUAUCGUCAAAGAUUUGGCCAUAUCAAUACUGUCAAAACAAGGAAGCAUAUAGAGAUGAAUUUCUUCAAGUGAUCAAGCGUGCAUGGAAAGAGUUCAGUAUUAGAUAUGGCAAAAACAAACUAACAAGGCACCCGUUUACUCAACCAAGAAAAAGAGAAGAAUUUGUUCCAACUUUUGAAAGACAAUCUCAGCAAUUAAGCACAAAAUAACAAAAAAUAAAGAGGAGACGUGGCCAAUAUUCUACGUUCACUUUGCCUAGCCUUUUCCGCCAUUAGGCCUUGAUGGUCACUGCUCCGUGCCAUUACGAUGUCAACACUCCUCCCAACCAAGCCAAGUCCGCUUCAUUCCAUUCGAUGCCAUCAACGUGGCCAUCAUUGCAGCAACGAGUUCUGAGCCACGCUAAACAUAAGUUUCCACCAAAACUAGAGAAACCAGCCAGUCCGGCCAAGGAAAGGAAUAUGUCGGAACAUAGUCGAAGGCUAAUGGCUUUGCCAUACUUCUCUCUCUCCUCUACCAAGAGGAAAACCAAGAGAGAGAGAGAGAGAGAGAGAGAGAGAGAGAGAGAGAGAGAGAGAGAGAGAGAGAGAGAGAGAGAGGCUCCUCCGCCACAAUAGCCCUUGUAGCCAUUGCCAGAAUUCCAAAACUCAGUGCCACAACUGAACUAUCCAACCUCCUCCUUGCAGCCUAGUUACAAUUCAAAAUUGUUGGUGACAUAUCUGAGCCGGAAAUGGGGAUGAACUAAUAGUAGAAGAUGAAGGAGAGUUCGAGAGGCCGGUUGAUUGUUUUUGGAGUUGGAGACGGAAAGACGAGGAGGAGGCGGAAAGGCGAAGAAGAAGGAGGAAGGGAGAGGAAGAGAGGAUGGAGAUGGAGGCCUUUAUUGCAAAAGAGAGAGGUCGUGAAGGAGGACCUACAAAGAGGAGAGAGAGAAGGCAAUGCAUUAAUUUUUACUUGUGUCAAUCCUUUACUUAGUCUGUAGGAGAGAGAAACAAGCGCUAGGAUUCAAAUUUUUUAAUUCCACGUCAUGAGCACGUGACGCAAUUUGAAUGGAACAUGCACGUCAGGUAGGCGAGUGAUGUGGUGGUUACAAACCAUUGAAUAUUUUCUCCAAACAGAGGAAGUCUCAGUCAUUCUUUGUUCUUUUAGGAGGAGAGAGAACCCAAAAAAUUCAAGUGAGGAGAGAUAUUUUGAGCGGGGUAUUACGCAUUUAUUGACCCUUGACUCGUCCUUUUUUCUGUAGCGGAGCAAAGUUGAGCCAUCCGAUAGGUAGCCCUUCCAUUUUCCAUUAGGUCCCGCUCACGAGACACGUGUCGGUAUCUCAUUGAUAGAUGCGCACCACGUGAGCGGAUGACGUGGCACGCUCAUACCAUUGAAUAUUUUCUUAGGCAAGGAGAAAAAUGGACAAAAGUAGAAAAAUGACAAAGCUGUGCUCUUAAAAGUUAACCAUUAUUUGGAUUUUUUUUCAAAUAAAAGUACUAAUAUCAUUGAGGGUGAGAAAAUUAGUUGAACCAGCAAGUCUUUUGGUAGCACUUGUAGGUGUAAAAUCAUAAAUACACUAGGCACGGUGCCGAAAUACGCUCUUGGAUCGCUUACGGAGGUGGAUUAGUUAAGGUGAACGAAAGCUGGGGAGAAUGAGGCUGCAUUUGUUUGUAUUUCUUUUUUUAUUAUUAUUUUUAAACACUUUUUCUGUUUUUUUGUUCCUUGGAACAAAAAAGGAACAGAAAUGCGUUUGGACGCGUUUCUGUUCCUUUUUUGUUCUUUUGUUCCCAGGAACAAAAAAGAAACAGAAACAAGAAACACAAAUUUUGUGUUUCUUGUUUCUGAAACACAAAUCAGAAACAAAAAAGGAACAAAAUUGUGUUCAUUUUUUAUUUCUUGGAUAGUGCUCGAACAACGCCUCUCUCCCCCCCGCGACGAGCUUCUCCUCCUGCGACCUGCGACGAGCGUCUCCUCCUGCGACGAGCAUCUCCUCCUGCGAGUAGAGAAUUCCAUCGUCUUCUCCGGCGCCGACAGUGGCCUCUGUCUCGACAGCCGCUACUCCUUCACCAGGUAAACGUGGUUACUGCUCCUCCUUCACUGAUUGUCUUCACUUCGGCGAGAGCUCGAGUGUUAGGGCUCGCUCGAGCCAGCGCUUGCCUAGAUCUGCGAGCCGCUUGCUCGAGCGAGUCUCACAGAUCUGGGCGAGCGUUGCUCAUCCAGAUCUGCGAUAGCAGCUCGUCUGCUCGCUCGAGAUCUGGGCGAGCGAGCAGAGCAGCGAGCGUUGCUGCUGCUCAGGCUCGAGCGAGUAGAGCAGCGAGCGUCGCUGCUGCUCAGGCUCGGCUCGAGCGAGCAGAGCAGCGAGCGUCGCUGUUGCUCAGGCUCGAGCGAGCAGAGCAGCGAGCGUCACUGCUGCUCAGGCUCGGCUCGAGCGAGCAGAGCAGCGAGCGUCCCUGCUGCUCAGGCUCCAGCGAGCCGCCCGCUGUGUGUCGGAACUGGAACCAUCGGCGGUUCUUCUGCCGUGCCCAAUGGUGCUGGCACUGGUGAUAGGGGAAAGGGCACGAAACGGGCCAAAUAUCUAGCCUUUGCUGGCGUUCCUCGACACCAUGACGAGUUGCUGUUCUAUUGAUCUUUGUCCCGCGAUCCUGUUGUUCUGUGGCAAAAAAAACGAUGCCCUAUCUAGGCCAAUAUCUUCCAGUGGGUAUUUUCCUAGUCUUUCUCCAUUUAUUGAUCUAUUAAUGUCAAUCGAAGUAGUUAGCAAGAAUCAUGCAAAUGCCUGAAUCGAGCGAGCAGAGCAGCGAGCCCUGCUCUGCUCUCUCGAGCGCUCGCAACAGCGAGCAUAGAAGUUAUUGUUGCCAAGCGAGCGUCUGCUGCUACACUUUUCAUUGUGUGUGGACUAUCAAUUGACAACAUCGGGCAUGACAAAAUAGCCUUUUAUCACUCUCAAAGUUCUAUACAUUAUUGUUUCUUUAAUCUCAAUCUCUAUGACAUCAUGUAGAUCUAUGGAUUUGUGGCUGAAUAUAUCAAAGUGAUGUGAAUCAAUGUCGAAGUUAUUGUUAUUUAUUUUUCUGCCUUUGUGUUAAAGCUUCUCAAUUUGCGUUUUGUCCCAUAUUGCUUGGAUUUGGUCUAAUAUUAGUAUUUUCUGUGUGUCUCUAUGAACCCUUGCGACUCAGCCACAUUUUGAUCCAAUCGGAAGUCGAGGAAGAAAAAGGAAAAAAUGGGUGUUAAAAGUGAGAAAGACAAAAGGAAGAAGAUGACGCCCGAAGAAGAGAACGUGUAGAGGGGUAGACUAAAGGGGAGGAGAAAAAUAAAAGUGAAAGAAAAGAAAAGAACAGAAAAAAAAAGGCACGUGAGAAGAACAACGUUGUCGACUUGUUCAUUUAGUACAUUCUUUGUGAAUCUAUAAGAACAACGUUGUUCGACUUUUUUUUUUUGUAGGAAUGUUGGGGAUUAUACACUUAUCAAAUCCAAUGUGAUGUUUCCGACUUUUGUAAUUUUGUUUUUAAGUAUUCACUUAUCAAAUCCAAUGUGAUGAAGUUGAACGAUGAACUAUAUUACUUCAUUAUUGUGAUGUUAUGUAUGAAAGGGUCUACGUAGAGAUCUAUGCAGUAUUCUUCUUUUAGGUAGCUCUUAUUGUGGGAUUUUUACUUACGAAAUUUUGUUCCAAGUAUGCACAUGACCAUGUUCAAAAAGUUUGUCUUCACCAACCAUGAACAAAAUUAAAUUGAUGAGCAUUUCAUUAGAGUGAUAAUGCAAUACCAAGUUUACACUUUAUUGAAAAAAAAGGCACGUGAGAAAAAUUUGGAACAAAGUUUAUUUAUAAAAUUUUCUUUAGAGUAUGCACUUAUAACCAUGUUCAGAAUGAUUGACUUUACUCACCAUGAACAAAAUUAAAUUGAUGAACAUUUUAUGAUAAUGAGAAUUAAAAGUCAAGUUUACACUUUAUUUAAAAAAAAAUAAAUGGGAAAAUUUUGAUACGAACUUAAAAAAAUUUCUUCCGACUAAGCAAAUAUGAUCAAGUUUAGAAUGUUUGUUUUCACUUAAUAUGAACAAAAUUAAAUUGAUGAGCAUUUCAUGAGAAUGAUAAUUCAAUACCAAGUUCACAUUUUAUUAAAAAAAAAAAUAAUUGAAUAGAAAUUUUGUACAUUACCAAACGUGUUUCUGUUCUUUUUCUAUUCCAGAAACAGAAAUUUUAUACAGUUACCAAACGUGUUUUUUUGUUCAGAAAUUGUUCCCAGGAACAGAAACACUUUUUUCUAUUUCUGUUUCCUGGAACAAUUUUUAAAUAGAAACGCAAACAAACGCACCAUGAAUUGCUUGAUCGUCAACCCGGCCUUGAAAUUAGGGACCCUAAACUCAUUUGAACUCUCGAGUCCAAGCCCACAUGAGCCCGGCUGCUUGAUGAAUUUGGCCAUUACCCCUUCGGCCUGGCCAACACUUACGUGUGAGAUAUUUAUGUGCCAUUCCCGAUGGGGAGACACUAUCGAAAAGAAAAGUGAUUAAAGAGGAGCAGCUUCGGCCGGACCCAGACAAGGGGCAAAGAAGGCUCGACCGAGCAUGGAAAGGACGAAGAGAGGAAAUAGACUUUAGCCGGCGCUCAUCAAUGGAAGUGAAUCUCAGCUGGCGAAAAGAAGGGAAGGCCAAUUUUGGUCACAAAUUCACAUAAUCUCGCCAGCAGAGGGCACACAUUCUCAGUUGGACAGAAUAUGUUCGGCCAUAUAUUCACAUAUUCUCUGGAUAGAACUCAUGGCUGAACGCAUUUCGCGCAAGACUCAUGGCCAAAGAGAACUCACUAGGCCAAAUACUCUUUGAUCACGCACAUGCCAGGUGAAGACGAGAAGAUACUCGGCUGAGAUCGCAUAGACUCACGCUAAACAUGUUCAUGAGAGGACGUGAGAACAAAAACAGAGAUUGUAUACUCAAAGGAAAAAAAAAAUAACAAUUCGUCAUAAUGCCGAUUCAAGUAAAACCAUAAAACUCCAGAUCAGGUAUGAUGUGGUUAUCGAUGAGCUACCGAUGCUAAAAUUUUCUUAUCGAUCAGCCUUUGGCUGUGCUCUCUGCUUCUGAAAUCUGAAGAAGAGGACGAGCACGUUUCACAGUCAAAUGCAUGCGAGCGUUUCUCACAGACCCGUGACCGAAGCAAAUCUCAAAGUUCUAGAAGGACUAUUGUCAAGCUCCGUCGGUGAGCAAAUAGCAACCACGACUCCAUUCCCAAUCAGGUAGGCACUCCCUCGAAUAUUCUGUCUUUCCCUGCUAUUUGGGAAUCAAGGACAUUGAGUUCAAUUGACAAAUUCGCAGCUCAAUCGUGUGGAACCGAGACUGAUCUGUGAGAGAUAAUGAUUAUUUAGAGGUUGAUAUAUCGUGUCUAGACUGUAAAUGACAUUGAAUCCUAUUCUGGAAUUACUUUUUCAAAUUGCAUAUCAGCCGUUCGACAAAAUGCCUGAAUGGAGUACUAAAAUGGAUUUAUGAAAUUCGACAAUUAGAGCCUCCUUUUAUGCUCGAUUUGUUCUUAGAUUGUUGAAAUUGAUACUAAAUCUGUGUUUCUCUUUGAUUUUGUAGCAUAUCGUUAGAUGAACGAGUCGGCUGUGAUACACCUCGGCGAGACGCCAUUCCUUUAGCCAGAGAAAGGCCACGGUUAGAGGCCACCACAGUCAAUUCUUUCUUCAUCGUUUGAAUGUGCAUAUGUUUUUGUUUUUCUAGAAUUGGUUAUCGUUUGAGAUGUAUGUUCUCGGUUAUCUUGACGUUGCUGGGACUGGUAUGGUGUUAGCCGAAGAUGAUUUGGUGAUGGUGGGCAACAUUGGAUAUCGACGGGGGACGGUUUGGAGUUCUUGCGUGAGUUCGUUUGAUGAAGUUUCAGUGUUGAGCUCGCCGCGUUGGAGAGCUCUUGGUGAAGUCUCGGGAGGGAAGAAGGGCAAAAAAGGAAAAUAAAGAAAAAAAAUUAGAAAAUAGAAAAAUAAAAAUAAAAAUCGAAAAUAUAAAAAGAGGCUGCAUAUGUUGAAUUCGGGUUGGGUCAAACUUAUAGGCGGACCGGGCUAGAAUUAUCAAAGGACUAGGCCGAGCCGAACAAUUAAUUUCAAUGUUUGGGCCAUACUCGGGCCAAGCUCUAAGUUUGACCUGAGGUUACACUCCAACCCAGACUGCUAGGGUCUGGGUCAGGCCAGUGGUUGGCACCGAGUUAGCCGAAGUCCAUUUUCUAAAAUUAAAAAAUAAAAAAUGGAAAAUUUAAAAAAAAUUAAGAAUUUUUUUUAGAAAUUAGAUACUAAGAAGGUUUUAUUAGAUUUUGGUUUUAAUUCUAGUUUUAAACUAGUUUAGCAUAAAAAAUGUGAAAAUCUUUUGAUGACAAUCGGACCUAAAAUUAAAUAAGCCUUUACGACUUUACAAGAUUAUUUGUGAAUGAUUUCUUUUUUAGAGACAAGUUAUUGUUUGUGCACUUUCUUUUUACUUUACUUGAUUGUACACUUUCAAAACAUUGGUUUUUUUUUUUUCUUCUUUUUUAGAAUGGUUAGGAUGCAUUUUAGGAUUUUUGAUUGGUAAAAGACUGCCCUAACACUUUGCUUAGCAAAUAGUCAAGUUUAGAUAUCAAAAUGGCACUAGUUAGAUCAUUAGUGUAAUUAAGUCCUUGAUCCUUGAAUCUCUAGUUCCUUAAGAAUUAAGAUGAAGCUCCCACGUCUCAAUUGGUUUCUAAUCGACCGUAAAUGACUAGAGGCGACUCUUAAGAAUAUUUAGAUUGUUGAGAACUUAAAAGAAAUUGCGUGUUAGGUGAGGUAUGACAUUAUUGAUUAAUGAACCUUUUCUUAGAUAGUUGAAAAAAUGAUUUGUUCGAAUUGUAUUUUCAAUGAACCACUAGGACUAUCUCUUCUUGGACACUUCUAAACCUAUAUUCUCGAGCUUGGCCCCUCGACGAGUAAAUCACAACAGAGAUCAUGGUGUGAUUUUGGAGGAGUAACCGUUUCCUAGAGACAAGUUGUUGUCAUGGCAACGUGAAGAUGUGGAGCCAAAAAUCAUGAAGACAAGAAGAUGUAGUUGAAACCCCUAGAGAACUGCAUGUAGGCAGUUCUGUUCUAAAUACUGUAUAAAUUAAUGCUCGUAUAAUGUUGGUUGUUCUUGUAAUGUAGAUUCCCCUCAGAACAAACCACAAAAACUUGUUAUUCUUCAAUUCUCAUACACCAAUUGUAAUUUUCAGAUGUUUUGUCAUUAAUUAAAUUCAGAUGUGUAUCUUAAUUGUAGCUUCCAGAUCUUCAUUGUCGAUUCAAUUCCGGCGUUAUAACUUUAUGUCAUUUUAUUUUGUUGCUGAUCGGCCAAGCUUUUUAUGUCAUUAGACUUCAUCGUUGAUUAAAUUCCAAUGAAAGUUGUUCUUGGUGUUCCAUUGAUACAACACAUGUCUGGAAUCACCACAAAACUUGUCUCAUUUUAAAAAAAACUAAAGAAUGAACUUUGUUUAUAGAUAUCUCAUUGUUGACCAAAUUCCAUUGAUACAUUUUUUGUUUAACGUCUGGUGAGACUUGUGUGGUUCGAGUUGAGGAACUGCGAUGGUGAGGACAAGGAAUCUGUUAGAUACUUAUGAUGCCAUUGGCAACAAUUAGUUGCUGCAACAUGGCAAUGACGAGAUAAGGCAUUCUGAAUCAUAAACCACUCAAGCAUAAAUCAUGUCCCCAACACAAAUCACAAAUUGGUACUGCUUACUCAAAUCUACAGUCCAUUAGCACUUUGGUAUAUGGGGUGGAGGGUAGAUUUAAAUCAAGAGUACUGGUUUGACAUUUUUCGUUAGACGAAAAUUAAUUUGGAUAAAUUUGUUAUAAGAGUAUCAAUUUGAGAUUUUCAAUGGUAGGGAAAAAACAACCAAAAAGCCCAACUAUAUCCAUUGUAACACAUUUAGCAUAAACUUUUUUUUUUAGACAUAAAAAAUUCUAAACUUAUACUCGUGGGAUGUAUUUAGCCUAAACUAGUCCUAGAUUAAACCGUACAAAGUUUUUUGAAAGAAUUUAUGUUGUUGUGUAUGCUAAUACUUAAUAAAACACUAAUUGAAAUUCCAUGGUAUAUAUUAUCCAUGGAUAGGAUAAUUACGUUACUUUUUCUAUUAAUUCCUAAAUAUGCGAUAUUCAAUCUUUAAAAAUGCUAGAGCAAUUUCUCAUAGAACUUUUUAUUUGGCUUGAACAAUAUGACAAGAUUUAUUUCUUCAAAUAAAAACCAAUGCUCUCUCUCAACAUUUUUUCCCCUCUAGUUGCUCAAUUCAUGGAAUGUGAUCUAAACCGCACCAUUAUUAAAGAGGAAUAACAUGCUGUUAGGUUAGCAAUGUUCCAAUAAAAAUUGAUGUCAUUGAUUGUGCAUCGACUAUGAUUUCAAAUAUAAUAUUAAGUUGAAAAAUUGUUGAUGAAGCGCGAGAGGUGACAAAGAGGAAUCUCUUUAGUUAGGCUAUAGCAAUAAAGCAAAGGCAUUGGCUAAACAAAGUCAAUGCCAUUUGUGAGUAUCCACUAGUAAUAGGACAUUCUGUUGUCUACGAGGAAGUAAUAAAUAGGAUCUCGAUCAAAACGUGGGAUCUGAAAUAUAGUCGACGAAUAAAUAAUAUGAUUGGCUGUGAGAAGCCAAUAAAACUAAGUUCACAAGGGGGGAAUAAUUUACAUUUAUCAACUAAUAGCCGAAUUGGUAUUAGUCGAGUCAAAAAGUACUAACAUCAAUUCACUAAGUUUAAGUGAAAUCAAAUCCAUUAGAGGGACAAAAAUAGCUGGAACAAUUAUUGUAGUCAAACUAUUAUGAGGGAACAAUUAUCAAAGGUUUGAUGGACAAUUGCGGUCAAGCAUUAAUUGAAGUUGAGUCAAUUAGUUAUUGCAGUCAAGCUCCCAAGGGGAUCAAUUAUACCAUCAAAUAUGGAGCCGAAAUUUGAUUUCAAUGAGUGCAAAUAGUUAUUAUGAGAGGCUAGCCACCCAUCGGAGUAUACAAAGAGCACGUGAGGAAAUGAUGCGCACAAACAUCCGAAAAACAAGAUUUACUGCGCAUGAGGAAAUGACACGCACAAACACCCGAAAAACAAGAUUUACUUCUGUCAAUGCACUUGUUUACAAUUUAUUUUCGCUCGUUUCACAGCGAUUUAUUUCUAAUCAUGCUAGUUGUUUAUUUCUUUUUAUCCAUCAACACGUGCCCUCAUUCCUUUGGAAAGACGUGUUGUCAUCAGUCGAUUCAUUUCAUCAGUUUUUAAACCCAUUCAUCAAGUGUUUUGUUCAUUUUUUGGUGCAUGGUUGUUUGUCAAAUUGACGUACAAGAAUUGUGAUAUUUGACUAAGAUUGUCGAUCAAUCAGAGCGCAAUAGUUCCUUCUAUCGAAUCAAUGAAACGGAGAAGUAUUUUAGCUUUGAACUGGAUUGGCACAGACUUGGUCAGUGAUCCUCACUGUAAUUCCUACUCACAAUCAUAGGAGCAAGUGGUCUCAUGUGAAUUCUCAGUACACGUUGUGCCAAUAGGAUUUACAGCUUUGAUUCAUCAGUAAAUGUUGAAGUAGUUAACUUUCAGUUUUUACGUGUCUUCAAUAAUGUAAUAGUGGAGUCCUAGUCAAUAGGAAAUGGCUUGUUUUUGGGAGUUUGUUUCUACACAUGUUCUGGUUAGUGGGGUAUGUUAGUGGGUCUUUGUUGUUGUUAUUCUGUAGCUAUUUUCUUGCUACCUGGUUUGGAUGCUCUGCCUAUUUAAUAGGCUUAUGUUCUGAUGAAUAAAGUAACAGAGUUACAGCAACAAUUCUCUUGUGUGUCUUCUUCUCUGAGUCUAUUUGAUUAAAUUUCAACAGUAAAGCCAUUUGAUAUUUGUCUGCUAAACUUUGUCGUGGAACUUUAAGAGUUUCUUACUUAAGGAAGUCAUUGCCGGAGUUGGCUUGGAAUGGAUAUAUCCACUACGGUUGGAAGUCUUGGAAUUAAGUUUAGUUUGGUGCACUUCUUGUUCCUUUUUUUUCCUUUGGUUUUUCCUCUUGAAAUGUUGUCGAAGUUUCUGUUAUAGCUUGUCCGAAUCGAAUCAUAUAAUUAGUCGAUUCAAAUGGCGUCGGCUAAUAAUAUGCAUCAUUUCAACAAAAUUCCAGCAGUAUAGUGAAUGAAUGCUAUGGGAAGAUAAGAAGACUAAGAAGCCCAUCCAUGUUUUUCGGAUACAGAAUUUCUUCACCUUUUCCUCUUCUUUUUCGGCAAAAAUGGGAAAAGAAGAAAUUGCUGCCCCAAGUUCAAACAGACUGAUUUCUGAUUCUUAUCAUCCAUGGAAAGACUCACGGUACAACGUUGGACCUUGGAACUGAGCAUAUAGAAUGGAUGAUUAUAUAUGUUUAGGAAAUUUAUGGUGUUUCAUGUAUGUAUUAUCAUGCAUUUUUUUGGAUAUGCUUUUCCUCCCCGUUUUUUUUUUCUUUGGUCGUAUUUCCUCCCAGUUGGUGCAGGGCCAAAAAAUCAUUCUGGCUUAGAGAAAAUGAGACCUACAAUGAAACAUUUACAUGCUCACUUAGUGGACAGUUGCCUUUAGGAUCAUGAUCGAAAAAAAGCAUGUUAGUUGAUGAUCGAACGAGGUUAGAUACCGAAAGGGCACUAAUCGUUUGAUUAGUGUAAUCAAGUCUCCGAACCUAAAUUUUCUGGAUACGUAGGAAAAGAAGGUAUACUCCCGUACGUCACUUGGUUUCUAGUCGACCCGAAUAGACUAAUGGCGACUCUUUACUACAAAAUUCUUAUGAACACCCCAACGUUGCGUGAGGUAUCGGUUUGGGAGAGCCCGUGCCUAAUCACGGACCGUGAACCUGUCUUUAGGUAAUACCCCUAAACCUAUUCCCUCCCCCAAGGGAUAGGUCGCGACAUUAAGCUAAAACUAAAUUCAGCCCCUAUAGUUGUGAUGGCUAAAUAUACGAGCCUCUAAAACGAAGUAUACUUUUUGGUUCCAUACUAUUAAGAAGGAUAAAUUUUAGGGCUUUGUUACAUGAUUUUAGCGUCACAGCUUUUUUUUUUUUUUAACGAAAACUCAAUUACUUUUGUCUUAUUUUCAUUGAAAAUCAUAUGAAAAUAUCAAAUUAAGACUAAUUACUAAUUGGUGAUUUCUACAUUUAGAAAUUUGCCUGAUUUGAUUGACAUUUCCAUUAAGAAUAAUUUUACACCGUAUGCAACAAUUGCAUCUUCAUUUUCAGUUCAAAUCCGUAUACACAUAUUCAGGACCAUUCUUUGGAAAAACAGGCACUUUUAAAUCUUCUAACUACUACUUAACUCACUAUUUAAUAGGCAAAAUAUUUUGAAAAGUUAAUCGGAAUUCUUUCAAUUCUAGCAAUCCUAACAAGUUCGCAUGACGUUGAUUGUAAGGGGCUGUUGGUAUAGGGGGAAGGCUAUUAGUAUUAAGUGUCAAACUCAACUCUAAAAUAUUAAGGGCCUUUAGAAAAAGCUCCUUCAAUUAUCGGUAAUAAAACAACCAAUAGCAAUUAUAAACACUUACACACACAUAAAUGUGCGUGCAUCAAAUUGAAAAUCCACGUCAUUUAAAUUUUAGUUAAAAUGGAAAUGUGAAAAAUCAUACUUAAGAACACGAACUAAUUUUAUCGCAAAAAUAAAGUACAUGGGCUACAGGUCUACCUUUUUCAUCUUUUUGGUGGUCCUAAGCAUGUUCGACUAUAAGAAGAGUAGAGAAAAUAGAGCUAGACCGAAUUGUGGUCAUGCUGAGAAGUACUAUGACUUGUAUUUUUGGUAAUAUUUAUUAUAAAAUUACAAUACCUAAAAAUUGGAUUAAGUGAAUGUACGUUUAAUCUAAUAUUUUAUUAUUGAUAUUGCUCUAUCAUUUGAGUAAAGUAAACGCAAUAUUAACUGGAGGAUUUGUAUAGUUUAUCAUUAUCCUUUUCUAGUUGAUGAUGCUCGAAAGCAUAUAAUUUAUUAUGUAUUUUUAAAGAAGGUAGACUUUUAUCUAGUGUUUUCAUUUUCAAACAGAUUGAGAAUUCUAGUUUAUACCACUUCCUAUAAUAUUUUAAUUCAUUUAUCUAAGCACUCCUAUCUUUCUAAUUUGAACCUGGAAGGAGUUUUCAUAUGAAGGAAGAUCACCCAAAGUAAUCUAUUUUGCAAAAAGAGAAGGCCUAUCGGCAUUAUGAAAAGGUAGGAAAUACCCUUGUCUUAAAAACACCCUUGGCGUGCAUGUAUGUGUUAAUCCAUAGAUGAUAGGCUGAGUUAUUAUAUGCGUUAAUUAUAUUAAAAAAAUAGGUUAUAAAUAGAUUUAAAUAUAAUAUUGGUGUUAAAUGUGUUAUAACUUAAAACCAAAUCUAUCUCUAAGACUUUUUCUUCAUUCUCUCUCGCCCUCAUUUGAUAUUGCGUUCACUCACUCCACACUCUUACUCCAAUUUGGGUAUAAUUUUUUCUAGAUUGGGUUAAAUAUGAAAUAUUUUGACAAUAUGAGUUGGAUUGGAUAUGAGCCAGAUUAGGUAUGGGUCCUUAGAUUUGUAUUAUAUGGAAACGAGUCAAAACAUGUUAAAUGGUUCUAUUUUUGGUUCGACUUGGCCUACCUAUUUGAUGGGUCUAAUACAAGAGGGAGUAUUUUUGUUAUUUUGGAAUAUGAAUUUAUAAUUCUAGCCUCACAAUUAUUUGAAUUUCGAGGGGCCCACAUGCUAAGCAUGUGUUUACAAAUGUCGCUCCAUGAACACUAGGUAGGAUACUAGGGGUAAUUAGUUUCCAGUUCGAGUUAGUUUCACCUAGGAAUUGGGAAUCAGAUCGAGAGAACCAGUGCCUAGUUUUUGGGACUGAGAAUCGGAUCGGGAUAAUUAGUUCUUAGUUUUUGGGACCAUGGACCAGACCGGAUGGUCUUGGGAUCAAGAAUCAAAUUGAAUCGGCCAGUUCGAUCCAAUGGAACCUAUCACUUAGCAAAAAAAAAUAAUUUUUUUUAAAGGUACUAUAGUUGUCACUAUUUUUAAGAAAUCGAAAAAAAGGAGUAAAUCACCGCUUCCAUUUUUAUGGAACCGAGAACUGGAUCAAUGCCCCCGGAAACCAAACCAAAUUGGUUGGUCUGGUUUGGUUUGAGCUGUUCCCAAUUCGGUCGAUCCAAUAUGCUCACCCCUAUAAAAUACUAUUUAAUCAAAAUAUACGUAAAUUAGAUCAAUAGGCCAUUUCAUCUGGCAAUAUAAAAGUGAUUUUGGCAGUCUAGGGAUGCUCUAUUCUUCGGGCUUAAGCAAGGAAGUCGGCAGAUGAUUUUGUGCUAAAAAGCAAAAGGUGAUCAGUGUAAAUUCACUUGCCCAUCUGCAAGAGUCAUUUGUAGUGGGCCAAGGCAUAGAUAAAUUUAUGAAAGAGUGCCUUAAGGAUAUUUAUUCAACACUAAUUAAAUAAACUUUAUAAGUUCCGCCCAAGAUGGAUUUUAGUGGUCCUUUAUAAACCACUUUUAACCCAUUUAGUAAGCACACUUUGGUCCUCCUUCGCCAAUCUCAUCUUUCUAUUCAAUUUUGUGACUCGUGACCUUCUCCCUUUGGUUACUUUGCUUCUGUAAUCGUUAAGUUUUACUCAAUCUCUAACUCACACAAUUGCACUUUUGAGGAAACCCAAACUUUUGCUACCAUUUGCACACUCCCGUCAUAACUUGACCAUCGAACUCCCUCACUAUAUAAUUGACAAGUUGGGUUGGUUUAUGGAGCAAUCCAUUUUUCAAAGGCAACAAUUUAAGGAAAAAAGUUGAUAAAACUAGAUUUCGACUUGGGUUGAGUUUGAGUCAGAUGCGAGAUGAGUAUGAAUCACUAAAUUUAUAUUGAAUAUAAAUGGAUCUAUUUGGAUCCGACAAUGUCCGACCCAACCCACCCUUUAUACUAUUUAAUGAAAAGAUUGUUAAUUAGUCCAAGUGAUUGGGAUCGAUGGGCAAUUUUACCCAGCAAUAUAAAAAGAAUCUAAUUGCGCUCUGUUUUUUUGUUUUUUUCUUUUGGUAAAGUCAAAGUAGAAUUUCAUUCGGUUUUGAUAACAUUUCAUUUGCACCUACCCUCACCCUGCAUCCAGAAAAGAGCUCGGCGAGUGGGUGGACAGACCAGCUAGGUUAUGCAUUCGUUCGUAACUUCGUAUUCACCCCUAGUGCAAGGAAGUUGGCAGAUGAUGUUCGGCUUAAAAGCAAAUGCAGAUCAGAGUAAAUUCAUUUACCCACCUCCAAGGGUCAUCUGUGGUGGGCCCGCACGUGCUUCCUGCAUCUUCGUCAAACAUUAUUACAUAUUCAAAUAACAAUUAUAAAUAUGCAAACCUACGGGAAAGGAAUAAAGUAGAAACAAGACCGGUCGGCUCUGAAAAGAUAAUUUACGUUGCACGUCCCGGUGCAUCGAGCGUCGUUAUGUCCAUAGGAUUCUCUUCUUUUGUACUUCUUUUAAAAUACCGCAUGGUAAGAUUCCAGGAGCCAGUCCUCUUGAUCCGUUCCUUGUAUUCAUUUUAUUGCAUCGCCAAGACAUAAAUAUAUCCAUAAAAAAGCAAAUUCGAGUAAUGAGUGUCUCAACAAGACUUAUUCGUUACCAAUUAAAGAAAUUUUAUGGUCUUUUUUUUUCCUCAUAUUAUAUUUAAUCAAUACCUCUAGAGUUUAUUUGUUAACUGGUCAAAUAGUACCUAAUUUUCUUUUUCCGGAAAAAAAUUUGCUUGGUAACUUUUUUGUUCCCAGAGCAUAAUCAAGAAAUAUACAAAAGUUGCUUAUUUAUUCCUGUGAUCAAUUCUAGAAUCAAAUCAAAUUUUCUUCUCUCUCUCUUCUUUUCCUUUUCUCUUCUUCUUCCUCAUUGCUAGUUGGGCGAGCUCGCCGAAGCCUCAACUAGGGUGAGGCCUAGCAAGGGUCGACCUCACCCAAAUCUGGCAAGGCCGAGCCUUUCCAGGCGUCAUUGCUAGCAACUAUGAGACUCGGCCUCGCCAAGCCAGGGCAAGGCCGGCCUCGCAUUGGUUGGGUGAGGUCAAGCCUUGCCGAUGGCCAGGCAAACUUACCCAGCCACCUGCGAGGCUCUGGUGAGGUUGUUGGACCAUACCCAGUCAGUCACCGAUGGCUAGCGAUCGGCUAGAGAAGAAGAAGACGGAUGGAAAAAGAGAAAGAAAAUAAGAGAAAAAAUAAAAGAAAAAGAGAAAAAAAUAUAAUAAGAUUACUAAAAAAUUAAAAGAAAUUCUAAGUCAUAAAAGAAUUUAAAAUUGUAUCAAAUGCCUUUCUAUCCUAGAAGUAGAAAAUUUGGAUAAUUACUAAACGUAUUCAAAUGCUCAGAAACUCGUCUAGGGAACAUAAUAAAAAAAAAUCAUUUGUAAGCAAAAAUUAUUUCGGGAAAUAGAAUGGUUACCAAAUAAAUCCUUAGUAGCUUGACCAAAUCAUAAAAAGAGAAGAUUUUUUUUUUUGGUUGAAAAUUUUCAAUUAGGAUAAGAACUAAACUGGUUGAGGAUAAAUUCAGGUCAAACUUGGAUUCUAGAAAAAUUGAUGACAUAAUAUCAAUUUUUUAGUAAAAAGAUUAUUAUCACUCAUCUAUGAGCUCACGUGACAAUGUUUUGUGGUUAGAAGGUUGUCAUGGUUAGUUCUUCAAUAUAUGUAAGUUAAUACAAAACCAUAAUUUGUCCCUGUAGCUUUGAACUUUUGAUGGCUAAAUAUACAAGCCUUUAAAACAAAUUAUACUUGUUGGUCCCGUGCUUUUAAGAAAUAACAUAUUUUAGGGCUUUGUUACAUGGUUUUAGUAUCACAGCAAGUUUCUAAACUAUAUUUUUUUUUUAAUGAAAAGUCAAUUACUUUUGUCUUAUUUUCAUUCAAAAUCAUAUGAAAAUAUCAAAUCAAGACUAACUUUCAAUUGUUGAUUUCUACAUUUAGAAAUUUGCCUAAUUAUAUUGACAUUUCCAUUAACAGAUAUACUUUUAAAUCUUCUAACUACAACUUUAACUCACUAUUUAUAGGCAAAAUAUUCUGGAAAUUCACUCGAGUCUAGCAAUCCUAAAAGGUUCACAUCACAUUGAUUGGAAUGGGUUGGCAUCGCAGGAAGGCUAUUAGGCAUCGAGGCUGUCAAAUCUCAACUCUUAAACAUGAAGUGCCUUUAGAAAAAGUUCCUUCAAUUAUUGGUAAUAAAACAACUGAUAACAAUUAUAAACACUUACACACAUCUAAAUGUGAUGUAUCAAAUUGAUAAUUCGCAUCAUUUAAAUUUUAGUUGAAAUGGAAAUGUGAAAAAUUGUACUUAAGAUCCCAUCAUGAAUGGUACACAUACUAAUAUUGCAGCAAAAACAAAGUACAUGAACAAAGAGCCCAUUUACCAUACACUUUAGUGCCAAAAAUUUCAAAAAGUACAAGUACCAUAAUCGGAGAAAAAUAAAAUAUUUAAAUGCCAAUAGUGAGAAAUUCUGGCCAAAUUGCUAAUGUAGCAUUCUUCUGGUGAGAUGAGUGCAAAAUGACGUUGUGCAAUGAAGUGCUCCGACUUGUGUGUUUGGUAAUAUUUAUUAUUAAAUUACAACAAACCUAAAAAUUGGGUGGGAUAACUUUUAAAUAGUUGUUAUAACUAUAGAGAUGUCGUGGCUAUAAGGUGAUUGUCAACCACCUUGUAACGAUUGCGACAUCUAUUUUCAAAGUUAAAGCUGCAAUGAUGAAAAUGUACUAAAAAUAUGAUGAAUUAGAAUAUUCUGAAAAGUACAAGGACUAAAAUGGUGACUUACAUUUAGAGGCUUAUAUAUGGAGGAGCCACAUGACAUAGCUAAUAUUGAUUCAACAAAUUCUAAGUAGAAAUUUGAUAGAAAGACUUAAAUUAUCACGCCAGAAUAGUGUGAUUAGAAUCAUAAUCAAAGAAAGAAAAAUGGUCAAAAGUAUUCUUCCAAAUAUAUAGGUUCCAGGAAUGUAAUUUUCCUGGAAUUAAUUAUGGAUCUAGUGUCAUUUGCUGCUGUUGAUAUGUCCAAGAAUAAAAUAUAAGAUCUCAUGUGGGGUUGUCUCAAAGAUCGGGUGCUAUUUCGACCGCACAGCUGUGUGCUAUUUCGAAUCCUUCUUGAAUCAACGCCUAGACCUCACUUGAGCGUGCUGGAGGAGAUGGAGCCCGCUCCCACGUGGUGCUUUACCCGUUUCUACCCCCACGGCAAAAACGGCAGGCCUCUCUCACGAAUGAGAAAGUAUGUAUAUGUAUAUACCACCUUCUCCGCUAAGGCUUCUAGUUCCCUCUUCUCUCCCCCACAAAGUAAAAAUCCCAACAUAACAAAAACAAAAACAAGAACCAAAACAAAAAUGGUAAAAAGAAAAAAGCUCCUCUGCUCGGGCAAAUAAAAAGGCAUUUUCAAAUUUUGCGGAAUCAUUUCGAUAUCCUUCGCACUUGAGAGUCCGACUUCGGAGGAGAAACUACGGGCAGAGUCAGUCGGGGCAAAGAAGAAAUGCGUCGUCUCGUUCUUAGCAACCCUUUCGUGGCGGUUGUCGCACCGAUCCUUCUCGGUGUGCUGGCGCACAAGGUUCUGAGUAAGAGGAGAGCAAGUGCGCUAAGAGACGCGGAUGAUCAGCAUCCUGGUACGCCUAGUCCUCCGAUCCAGCCGAGUGAAAAUGACUACGACGUGUUCUUAAACUUUCGAGGCAGAGAUACUAGAGAGCGCUUUGUCGACCACCUCUACUGUGGCCUCGUCAAUGCCGGGAUCUGUGUCUUCAGGGACGAUGCUGAGCUCCUCAAAGGCGAGGAUUUGAGCUCAAAUCUUCAGGAAGCCCUUGAGAACAGUAAGAUUUUCAUCCCGAUUAUCUCUGAGAAUUAUGCUUCUAGUAAAUGGUGCCUUGAUGAACUGGUUCGCAUGAUGGAGUGCCAAAAACACUUGGGGCGGUUAGUGUUGUCCAUAUUCUACAAAGUGGAACCUGCAGAUGUGCGAUAUCAAACGGGUCAUUUUGGACAGGCAUUUCAUCGUUCUCAUGGGUGUUUAGCCCAAAAGGUGGUUGUGCACAAAUGGAAGCAAGCUCUUGGAGAAGUCAGUUCCUUAUGAGGAUGGGAAGUUGCUAAUGGGUAGGUACUUUGACGAUAUCAACACCAAUCAAAUCGUAAUUUUCUUUAUGGAUCCAAUUCGUUCGUUUUAAUGAUGGAAGUUUUUUGCUAUAAUACUUUGCCUUCCUUUAUGCAAGGAUUUUCUAGCUUAUAUUUUGCUUAUUUCUACCUACAUAAAGGCAGCAUUACUGCGUUUAUCUUUACGAAUAAGAAUUUGAUAAUUACGACGACGGACGCCUCUAAAAGAACCAAAAAUAAAUAAAAGAAGAAGAAGGAGAAAAGGAGACUGCUUGAAAAGCUUCAUUAGCCUCAAUCUCUUUCUAAUAAAUUACGAUAUUUCUGAAAAGAAGUUAUGAGUGGGUCUUGUGGAGCAACCACGGGAUUGCUUUACCCCUUUCCUCUGAGCAAAUAAAAUAAGAAAUGGCAGUGGCGAAAAGAUUAUAAGUUUUCCAAAUUAUCCCCGAGUUCUAUUGUUUGUGCUAUCGUUAGAUAAUACUUAUGUCAUUGAACUCAUUUUUAUUUGACAGGAGUGAAGGAGAAUUGGUAGAAUUGGUUGUGCACAAAGUUUUGAAAGAGUUGAAGAAAGCGGUGGAGUUCGUUGUUAGUGAUUAUCUGGUUGGCAUUGACAGUUCUGUGGAGGAGGUUAUGGAAUUGGUAAAUAAGAAUGCCAGUGCUACCUUGCGUGUGGGAAUUUAUGGAAUUGGGGGAAUUGGUAAGAUGACUCUUGCCAAAAUCAUAUACAACAAGUUGUCCAAUCAAUUUGUGCAUCGUAGCUUCAUUGCAG